This is a non-coding RNA of Pelobates cultripes (western spadefoot toad), 238 nucleotides long. The record is from the annotation of a GenBank genome assembly. NCBI's taxonomy places the organism in Eukaryota, Metazoa, Chordata, Amphibia, Anura, Pelobatidae.
UUUUGCUUAUGUUUGGGAACAAUUACAGGCAGGUAGGGUGAGAUUUAAUAGCAGCAAUUUCAGCCAGGGGAAAAAUAAAAUACUAAAAACUAGGCUGAGAAUUGGUAACUAGCAUGGUGAGUAAUGAGAAUUUAGUAAACAGACAAUAUGGUUACCAGAACCACCACAGCUUAUUGUAGUGGUUCUGGAGUCUAUAAUAUGUCCCUGCAGGCUUUUCAUUAGUUAUGGGAAAGUGGAG